UACGUAAGGUGCAAGCGUUAAUCGGAAUUACUGGGCGUAAAGCGUGCGCAGGCGGUUGUGUAAGACAGAUGUGAAAUCCCCGGGCUCAACCUGGGAACUGCAUUUGUGACUGCACAGCUGGAGUGCGGCAGAGGGGGAUGGAAUUCCGCGUGUAGCAGUGAAAUGCGUAGAUAUGCGGAGGAACACCGAUGGCGAAGGCAAUCCCCUGGGCCUGCACUGACGCUCAUGCACGAAAGCGUGGGGAGCAAACAGG
This 253-nucleotide ribosomal RNA is filed under the name uncultured bacterium. RNAcentral's name for it is "partial 16S ribosomal RNA". It matches the Rfam family "Bacterial small subunit ribosomal RNA", at positions 524 to 776 of the family's 1533-position model. The record is from RNAcentral.